UAAAAUGAGUUACUACAGAUCUUUCCUCUAACUUAUCCGUCAUUUAUCUCUUGAUAUAGGCCGAACAUCUCCAAGCCUUAAGAUAACCUGACUCGACUUUUUACUAAACCAUAUCUCAUACGGUGUGAUAGAAAUAGACUUUGAUGGAACCCUAUUCAACAGAUAAAUGGCGGUUAAUAAGGCAUGUCUUCAAAGAUAUAAGGGU
Molecule: long non-coding RNA, 205 nt
Filed under: Elaeis guineensis (African oil palm)
Lineage: Eukaryota; Viridiplantae; Streptophyta; Magnoliopsida; Arecales; Arecaceae
Description: long non-coding RNA (EGUI_LNC032827)
Source: RNAcentral